UUAACUCGAAUUUGUAUGCAGUUGGAACAGCGCCCCUAGCGGCAAACGUAGGCAAAUGUUCCAACUUCAUACAAAUUUGAUUUA
This 84-nucleotide microRNA precursor is filed under the name Bombyx mori (domestic silkworm). RNAcentral describes it as "mir-2807 microRNA precursor family". It matches the Rfam family "mir-2807 microRNA precursor family". Lineage: Eukaryota; Metazoa; Arthropoda; Insecta; Lepidoptera; Bombycidae. The record is from Rfam by way of RNAcentral.